This 895-nucleotide long non-coding RNA is filed under the name Prunus dulcis (almond). RNAcentral describes it as "sRNA ncRNA". The record is from RNAcentral. Lineage: Eukaryota; Viridiplantae; Streptophyta; Magnoliopsida; Rosales; Rosaceae.
CGUGUACGUAACUUAAGAAGGUUCCUAGGCCCAUUUUCAACAUUUUCUGAAAGGUGGAAUGGUCUAAAAAGAACCCAGGUUAAAUAAGCGAUUACAUUCUCAUAUUGGUCAUUCCGGUCCCCGUGGGGGGUCCACGACCUCUGAUUAAUAAUCCGAGAGUUCCUAUAGGUUCAACACAAUUUACUAAACAUGCCUUGCAAGUUUGGUCCGAAUCAAACGGUCGGAUCACUUGCGAUCACACGAUCGGACGAUUACCAUUUACCCCAACUUUGAAUUAUUGAAUCGGAGUAUCCGGGAUUCCGAUUCUCGAUCCGCGAAUUUUUGCACGAUUCUAGAGGUGUCUAUAUUAACAUAUUUGAAAAUGAAAUUGAUCCAAUAGUCCAAACAUAUUGAAUCCGGAUAACGCCUAAUAUGUGAUAUCCGAUCGACAGUCAAAUAGUAACCAAAAUGAAAUCCGAAUAUACCAUCGUGCUUGGGACGAAGUGGGGAUCAUUUUAGGGCCAAAACCCAACCUUGACACCUUGCCACCUCCGGUGAGUGUGUAGAGAAAUUUUUUGGCAAUCGGAAAAUUCCAAACCGCCGGCCAAUAUUCAUACUUACAGAUCAAGCACAUCAAGGGGAGUAACUUUAUACCUUUGCUCAAACAUGAAUUCCACCUUUAAAGCCCUCGAACGAACGAUUUCCUCGUUUGAAAAACCUAGAAAGUUCUUGGUUUGGAUUCAUCAAUUCUACUUGAAAUUGGGUCGGGUCUUUGAGGGAAAUUAUAGAGCAAAAGGUAGGGGAGUGUUUUAGAAUUAAUUUGGUGGUUGGUGGUGGCCGGAGUUGCCCAGAAAUGGUGUCGGUGCUCACGGUUUGAAACAACCUAUUUUUGGGCUUCACUUUGGCACGAUUUUUG